Anguilla rostrata (American eel) is the source of this 2821-nucleotide long non-coding RNA. RefSeq lists it as uncharacterized. The record is from RefSeq and is a predicted model, not a curated record. NCBI's taxonomy places the organism in Eukaryota, Metazoa, Chordata, Actinopteri, Anguilliformes, Anguillidae. The transcript has 2 exons.
CCAGCUUUGCUUCAAUCAGAAAGAAAUACAGUGUGUACUGGUUUCCCGGGGACAUGUUUUAUUCCUGAUCACUGAAGCUCAUUAUCAGAGGCGAUGCAGUUCCCAGCAGGCCUGCAUUCGUGUCCAGAGACGCCCACGCCGGCCGUCGGCUACUUCAUUGCUCCUAUACUAGAGCAGCAGCAACACUGCUAAAAUUCUGCAGCUGAAACGCUCUGACUAAGGACAGAACAGCAGCCACCCCAUCCUUCCCUCCAUCCCUCUCUCAUUCCUCCUCUUCCUCACUGGUUAGGGGGCUGAUAAAGAUUAUUUGUGGGUACCAGGACAUUUUCCCUGGUGCUGCAGUGUGCACAUGCUCUGCGGGAAGGGGGUGAGAUGGUUUGAGUGACAGGUCCAGGAUAGGGGGUGGUAAGGAGGAAGUGUUGAGGCUGGAAGGGACACAGUUGGGUUCUGGAGACAGACAGAGGGAAGACCUCAGCCCCCUCUGGGGUGGUGCUUUGCAAGCCUCAGAGCAGAAUGCUGAGGAGGAGGAAUGACGAACUGUGGGAAGGGGUGGACAGAACAAUGGAAGAGACAGAGAGAGGGGCAAAGAGGAGGAAGAAGGGGAAACCCAGUGCUUGACCCACGCUCAGGCGGGCAGCAUGCCCCCUGUGCCACGACUCGCUGUGCCCCGGAGCAGUGCACACGGCAGAUGGCUGUGCCAGCCUGAGACUCCCGUGCCCUUUUUUAACGCAGCGGGAAAAAAACACCACUCUGACUGCCCACGGCGCAGCCACCUGCACCAGAGAGCAACGAUAAUUAAACCUCAUCAGCAGCCUGCCCGGCCCUCCUCGUUAGCUAAUUUUUCCCAGCAGCCCCGGGGCCUGGCUGAGUAAGCAGACGCGUGGUGGAGGCAGGGCCCUCUCCCGGAGAGCUGUGAUUAUCCGCCGCUCUCUCCGUCCCCCGUGUCAUCGGCUCGGAAGCCGUUGAUUACCGUCUCGCAGCCGAGACCCAAACCCGCCAUUACUUGCCUCCGCGGCCACGGCUGCUGGAAAAAUCGAUCUGAGAUCAAGCAAACAUUGAUGAACGCUGGCAUGCGGGGCGAGUGUUUUAUAGAGAAAUGUAAGAAGAACAAUGCUUUAAGAUGCUUGUUAAAACACAAAACCAUGGCAGUGGUCAAAGGUCACAGCUGCAUUCUUGGGGGGGGGGGGGCAUUAGUGCUGGACAUUAAUAAAAGUAUCAAGGGGAUAAGGAAUAUGCAAGCUCAAGAUUUUCCAAACUGAGAUCUGUGGACCCACAGAACCUCCUUUAUCAGACCUGAGAUUUAUAAUGGCAGGCCAGACGCUAGGGUCACCCUAAUACUCCACAUUCAUUUCCUUUAUCUCACCCCAUCUGGAUGAGAGGCCCAGAUCAGAGGAAGAGAUGUCAGCGAAGCGCGGGCUUAAAAAGCCACUGGGUUUCUUUAAUUACAGUUAAUGUCUGACAGACGCCUGGCGUGUUUGAGCUUUCCUUCCCCAAAGUGCAGGCUUUCUGCGCUUUUUCCACGGAAGCUGUAAUUAAACACUCUGGUAGGAGAAGAGUCCCAUCGGCGUGGGCGGAACUGACGAGCGCGGCCCACUUCCUCCGCGUCUUCACAGCGGCAGGAUCUCAUUAAGCCCCGCGCGCCGUUUACCUGCGACGGCGUGAACCUCCACACCUCGCCCCUGCCAGCGCCAGUACCGCGCUGGACUUGGGGGGAGAAACCGAAGAGACGACGGAUCAGGCGGUGCCUGAAUUUCAGCCUGGCUUUGUGUCAUUCAGACGGAAAAACAGACACGUAUGCUCCAGCUCCUUUUCCAGCAACACUGAAAUUAGAAACCCUGCAUUUAGUGACAGAGCCAGCAGGUGAAGUGGAAUGGGAGGGAGCCAAUCACAGGCUUCCACACACUGGAAGGGGAGAGGGGGGAAGGGGGGGCAUAUGACUUUGCAUAGGGAUUGGGUGAGCUCAGGUCAGAUAGCCUUCCAGACAUCACACCAAUCAGAAGACUAAGAUGUAAAAGGCACCAAGUCAAAAUUUUCCAAAAGGUGCCAAAUGAAAGGCAGAAAUGACAAAUCCUCAUUUUCACAGCUCAUCAGAAGACAAAAUGUUUUAUUUUAGAGAAUAUGAGGAUAAGUGAGCCAAGGGUUUCAUCCACUACAUUUCUUGUAACGAAAGCAUACAUACAGGACAAACAGAGACCCUGCUGUGUUUUGAGGAACUUUGAGAGUGCCCUGGGAGAUCUGGUAAAUAUCACCAUUACACUUGUAAAUAAUGAUGAGCGUUCACCUGCAGAAUGAAGGAAACUAGAUAUUUCCUGCCAAAAGCCAGACAGAGAGAAAGGGAAAGGGAGGUGAUUUUUCAUCUACGAAUCAAAAUGGUAUCACAAUACAACUAUUUUUAAAAUUUUCCAACUGCUUUGACAGCACUUGCGUGCAAACUAGCACCCACUUCUCAAAGGGGAAAGGCUUGAUAAGUCUGCUGGGCUAAUUAACAGAACAAUUCCUCCUUUUUCCUAGUGUGAUGGAUGGGGCUCUACACAAAAGAAAAAUACCAUGUAAAAAAAUGCUACAAUUGCCAACACAUAUCUGUUCUGUCACCAUCACAGCAGGGAAUAGUGUGCUUAUUCACUGGGAUUGGUGGAUUUACUCAAGAUGGUCUUCAGGAGCUUGUUGCAUCAAUACAUUCAGACCGAAAUGAUAAACUCCAUUUUAUAAUCACACACCAGACAGAAAACAGUUUCACAGACAGACAUAAAACCACAUUUCUAUUAUACCACAACUUGCCCAUUGUCUCAACAGAAACUAAAGAAACAAGAUACACAACCUU